Molecule: small nucleolar RNA, 140 nt
Organism: Copidosoma floridanum
Lineage: Eukaryota; Metazoa; Arthropoda; Insecta; Hymenoptera; Encyrtidae
Source: RefSeq, a predicted model, not a curated record
UUUGGCUAUAAUCGAAGCUGAAAUUUUUUUUUUCAUUAAACAUUUCAGUCAAAUGUUAGCCAAUAUAAAAUUGAUCCUUCUUUAAGGUCACUGGUUGAUUAGUAUGUAAUCUUGCAGUAUUACCCUAGUAGGAUACAGUU